RNAcentral lists this transfer RNA (74 nucleotides) under Candidatus Saccharibacteria bacterium RIFCSPHIGHO2_01_FULL_48_12. RNAcentral's name for it is "tRNA-Gly". It matches the Rfam family "tRNA". Rfam says of the family: Transfer RNA (tRNA) molecules are approximately 80 nucleotides in length. Their secondary structure includes four short double-helical elements and three loops (D, anti-codon, and T loops). The record is from RNAcentral. RNAcentral also lists the same sequence under 4 other names. Lineage: Bacteria; Candidatus Saccharimonadota.
GCGGGAUUAGUAUAGCGGUAGUACGUUUGCUUCCCAAGCAAGAGGUACGAGUUCGACUCUCGUAUCCCGCACCA